GAGUUUGAUCCUGGCUCAGGAUGAACGCUGGCGGCGUGCCUAAUACAUGCAAGUCGAGCGAACAGAUAAGGAGCUUGCUCCUUUGACGUUAGCGGCGGACGGGUGAGUAACACGUGGGUAACCUACCUAUAAGACUGGAAUAACUCCGGGAAACCGGGGCUAAUGCCGGAUAAUAUUUAGAACCGCAUGGUUCUAAAGUGAAAGAUGGUUUUACUAUCACUUAUAGAUGGACCCGCGCCGUAUUAGCUAGUUGGUGGGGUAAUGGCUUACCAAGGCAACGAUACGUAGCCGACCUGAGAGGGUGAUCGGCCACACUGGAACUGAGACACGGUCCAGACUCCUACGGGAGGCAGCAGUAGGGAAUCUUCCGCAAUGGGCGAAAGCCUGACGGAGCAACGCCGCGUGAGUGAUGAAGGUCUUCGGAUCGUAAAACUCUGUUAUUAGGGAAGAACAAAUGUGUAAGUAACUGUGCACGUCUUGACGGUACCUAAUCAGAAAGC
RNAcentral lists this ribosomal RNA (500 nucleotides) under uncultured bacterium. RNAcentral's name for it is "bacterial SSU rRNA". It matches the Rfam family "Bacterial small subunit ribosomal RNA", at positions 9 to 491 of the family's 1533-position model. The record is from RNAcentral.